Molecule: ribosomal RNA, 857 nt
Filed under: Neojahnula australiensis
Lineage: Eukaryota; Fungi; Ascomycota; Dothideomycetes; Jahnulales; Aliquandostipitaceae
Description: Pleosporales sp. WD-2020d partial large subunit ribosomal RNA
Rfam family: Eukaryotic large subunit ribosomal RNA
Source: RNAcentral
CAACAGGGAUUGCCUUAGUAACGGCGAGCGAAGCGGCAAUUGCUCAGAUUUGAAAUCUGGUCCUUUUAGGAUCCGAGUUGUAAUCUGUAGGGGAUGCUUCGGAGUUGAACCCGGCCUAAGUUCCUUGGAACAGGACGUCGCAGAGGGUGAGAAUCCCGUACGCGGCCGGUGGGCGACUCCAUGUGAAGCUCCUCCGACGAGUCGAGUUGUUUGGGAAUGCAGCUCUAAAUGGGAGGUAAAUUUCUUCUAAAGCUAAAUACCGGCCAGAGACCGAUAGCGCACAAGUAGAGUGAUCGAAAGAUGAAAAGCACUUUGGAAAGAGAGUUAAAAAGUACGUGAAAUUGUUGAAAGGGAAGCGCUUGCAACCAGACUCGACUGCUGUGGAUCAACCCUCCCCGUGGAGGGCUUACUCUGCUGCGGUCGGGCCAGCAUCGGUUCGGGCGGUCGUUUAAAGGCGUUGGGAAUGUAGCUCCUCCCGGGGAGCAUUAUAGCCCUUCGUGCAAUGCGGCCUGCCUGGACCGAGGACCGCGCUUCGGCAAGGAUGCUGGCUUAAUGGUUGUAAGCGGCCCGUCUUGAAACACGGACCAAGGAGUCUAACAUCUAUGCGAGUGUUCGGGUGUCAAACCCCUACGCGCAAUGAAAGUGAACGGAGGUCGGAGCCUUUGGGCGCACGAUCGACCGAUCCUGAUGUCUUCGGAUGGAUUUGAGUAAGAGCAUAAAUGUUGGGACCCGAAAGAUGUGCGAACUAUGCUUGAGUAGGCCGAAGCCAGCGGAAACGCUGGUGGAGGGUCGCAGCGGUUCUGACGUGCAAAUCGAUCGUCAAACUUGAGUAUAGGGCGAAAGACUAAUCGAGCCAU